GUUUUUUGUUUGGUUGGUUUUUUUUGUCUUGAGAUUUAAAUUGGUUUUCUGGCUUGGUUGUAAAGAUUUGGAAGAAAAGUGUGGAUCCCCAAAGGAGGGAAGCAGCACAUUUAAAAUGCAGCCACAGAAGAUUUUGUAAUCCCUGGAGACUCUGGAUUUAACUGCAUCAGGCAGAAAGUUUCUCCUCUUCAUCCCUGAAGCUCAGCAGCAAAGUUGUUCCAAGCACCUGGAAGGAAUAAGAGCUUACAAUGCCUGUGGUACUCCCCCCUGGAAUCUGAAGGGAAGGAUCACACUGAAAAUUGUGAUUUUAAAAAAAAUUUAAAAAUAAGCAGAGAAAGCCCAAAAAGGUAAGAAAGUAAACACUCGGACAUUUCAUUUUAUAUGAUAAAAUAUGAAGAUUUUAACAGUUC
Molecule: long non-coding RNA, 410 nt
Organism: Haemorhous mexicanus (house finch)
Lineage: Eukaryota; Metazoa; Chordata; Aves; Passeriformes; Fringillidae
Exons: 3
Source: RefSeq, a predicted model, not a curated record